CGUCAGUGUUAUCCCAGGAGGCUGCCUUCGCCAUCGGUAUUCCUCCACAUCUCUACGCAUUUCACUGCUACACGUGGAAUUCUACCUCCCUCUGACACACUCUAGCCUGACAGUUUCCAACGCAGUUCCCAGGUUGAGCCCGGGGCUUUCACAUCAGACUUGUCAAACCGCCUGCGCACGCUUUACGCCCAGUAAUUCCGAUUAACGCUCGCACCCUACGUAUUACCGCGGCUGCUGGCACGUAGUUAGCCGGUGCUUCUUCUUGAGGUACCGUCAUUAGCGAACUAUGUUAGAGUCCGCCGUUUCUUCCCUCACGAAAGAGCUUUACAACCCGAAGGCCUUCUUCACUCACGCGGCGUGGCUGGAUCAGGGUUGCCCCCAUUGUCCAAAAUUCCCCACUGCUGCCUCCCGUAGGAGUCUGGGCCGUGUCUCAGUCCCAGUGUGGCUGAUCAUCCUCUCAGACCAGCUACAGAUCGUCGCCUUGGUAGGCCUUUACCCUACCAACUAGCUAAUCUGACAUCGGCCGCUCGUAUAACGCAAGGUCCGAAGAUCCCCUGCUUUCUCCCGUAGGACGUAUGCGGUAUUAGCACAACUUUCGCUGCGUUAUCCCCCAUUACACGGUACGUUCCGAUGCAUUACUCACCCGUUCGCCACUCGCCAUCAACCUAGCAAGCUAGGUCAUGCUGCCGUUCGACUUGCAUGUGUAAAGCAUGCCGCCAGCGUUCAAUCUGAGCCAGGAUCAAACUC
RNAcentral lists this ribosomal RNA (747 nucleotides) under uncultured bacterium. RNAcentral's name for it is "partial 16S ribosomal RNA". The record is from RNAcentral.